RNAcentral lists this ribosomal RNA (209 nucleotides) under uncultured bacterium. Its description in RNAcentral is "partial 16S ribosomal RNA". It matches the Rfam family "Bacterial small subunit ribosomal RNA", at positions 328 to 538 of the family's 1533-position model. The record is from RNAcentral.
ACGCUCGACACCUACGGGAGCAGCAGUGGGGAAUAUUGCACAAUGGGGGAAACCCUGAUGCAGCGACGCCGCGUGAAGGAAGAAGUAUUUCGGUAUGUAAACUUCUAUCAGCAGGGAAGAAGAAAGUGACGGUACCUGACUAAGAAGCCCCGGCUAACUACGUGCCAGCACGCCGGACGGUUAAUCUGAGGCCGGGCGUGGACGAAGGC